GGGCCAUUAGCUCAAUUGGCGGAGCAGCUCCCUCUUAAGGAGAAGGUCGGAGGUUCGACUCCUCCAUGGCCCA
This 73-nucleotide transfer RNA is filed under the name Candidatus Omnitrophota bacterium. Its description in RNAcentral is "Candidatus Omnitrophica bacterium tRNA-Lys". It matches the Rfam family "tRNA". From Rfam's summary of the family: Transfer RNA (tRNA) molecules are approximately 80 nucleotides in length. Their secondary structure includes four short double-helical elements and three loops (D, anti-codon, and T loops). Lineage: Bacteria; Pseudomonadati; Candidatus Omnitrophota. The record is from RNAcentral.